Molecule: ribosomal RNA, 655 nt
Filed under: Vibrionaceae bacterium enrichment culture clone MS_H2_O12
Lineage: Bacteria; Pseudomonadati; Pseudomonadota; Gammaproteobacteria; Vibrionales; Vibrionaceae
Description: bacterial SSU rRNA
Rfam family: Bacterial small subunit ribosomal RNA
Source: RNAcentral
GCCUACACAUGCAAGUCGAGCGGAAACGAGUUAACUGAGCCUUCGGGUGACGUUAAUGGCGUCGAGCGGCGGACGGGUGAGUAAUGCUUAGGAAUUUGCCCAGUCGAGGGGGAUAACUAUUGGAAACGAUAGCUAAUACCGCAUACGCCCUUUGGGGGAAAGGAGGGGAUCUUCGGACCUUUCGCGAUUGGAUAAGCCUAAGUGAGAUUAGCUAGUUGGUGAGGUAAGAGCUCACCAAGGCGACGAUCUCUAGCUGGUCUGAGAGGAUGAUCAGCCACACUGGAACUGAGACACGGUCCAGACUCCUACGGGAGGCAGCAGUGGGGAAUAUUGCACAAUGGGCGCAAGCCUGAUGCAGCCAUGCCGCGUGUAUGAAGAAGGCCUUCGGGUUGUAAAGUACUUUCAGCAGUGAGGAAGAUGUUAAGAUUAAUACUCUUAUCAUUUGACGUUAGCUGCAGAAGAAGCACCGGCUAACUCCGUGCCAGCAGCCGCGGUAAUACGGAGGGUGCGAGCGUUAAUCGGAAUUACUGGGCGUAAAGCGCAUGCAGGUGGUUUGUUAAGUCAGAUGUGAAAGCCCGGGGCUCAACCUCGGAAGGUCAUUUGAAACUGGCAAGCUAGAGUACUGUAGAGGGGGGUAGAAUUGCAGGUGUAGCGG